Molecule: ribosomal RNA, 496 nt
Filed under: uncultured bacterium
Lineage: Bacteria
Description: partial 16S ribosomal RNA
Rfam family: Bacterial small subunit ribosomal RNA
Source: RNAcentral
GAUGAACGCUGGCGGCGUGCCUAAUACAUGCAAGUCGAGCGAACAGAUGAGGAGCUUGCUCCUCUGACGUUAGCGGCGGACGGGUGAGUAACACGUGGAUAACCUACCUAUAAGACUGGGAUAACUUCGGGAAACCGGAGCUAAUACCGGAUAAUAUAUUGAACCGCAUGGUUCAAUAGUGAAAGACGGUUUUGCUGUCACUUAUAGAUGGAUCCGCGCCGCAUUAGCUAGUUGGUAAGGUAACGGCUUACCAAGGCGACGAUGCGUAGCCGACCUGAGAGGGUGAUCGGCCCCACUGGAACUGAGACACGGUCCAGACUCCUACGGGAGGCAGCAGUAGGGAAUCUUCCGCAAUGGGCGAAAGCCUGACGGAGCAACGCCGCGUGAGUGAUGAAGGUCUUCGGAUCGUAAAACUCUGUUAUUAGGGAAGAACAAAUGUGUAAGUAACUAUGCACGUCUUGACGGUACCUAAUCAGAAAGCCACGGCUAACUACGU